RNAcentral lists this unclassified non-coding RNA (217 nucleotides) under Preussia flanaganii. Its description in RNAcentral is "partial internal transcribed spacer region". The stretch from base 1 to 46 matches the Rfam family "Eukaryotic small subunit ribosomal RNA", at positions 1786 to 1831 of the family's 1831-position model. The record is from RNAcentral. Lineage: Eukaryota; Fungi; Ascomycota; Dothideomycetes; Pleosporales; Sporormiaceae.
AAGUCGUAACAAGGUUUCCGUAGGUGAACCUGCGGAAGGAUCAUUAUCGUGGGGCUUCGGCCCUCUCGAGAUAGAACCCUUGCCUUUUUGAGUACCUUUCGUUUCCUCGGCGGGCUCGCCUGCCAAUGGGGACCCCAAUUAACCCUUUGUAAUACCUGUAAUCGUCUGACAAAACAAACAAAAAUUAAAACUUUCAACAACGGAUCUCUUGGUUCUG